RNAcentral lists this ribosomal RNA (466 nucleotides) under uncultured bacterium. Its description in RNAcentral is "partial 16S ribosomal RNA". It matches the Rfam family "Bacterial small subunit ribosomal RNA", at positions 28 to 507 of the family's 1533-position model. The record is from RNAcentral.
GACGAACGCUGGCGGCGCGCCUAACACAUGCAAGUCGAACGAGCGAGCGAGAGCUUGCUUUCUCGAGCGAGUGGCGAACGGGUGAGUAACGCGUGAGGAACCUGCCUCAAAGAGGGGGACAACAGUUGGAAACGACUGCUAAUACCGCAUAAGCCCACGGCUCGGCAUCGAGCAGGGGGAAAAGGAGCAAUCCGCUUUGAGAUGGCCUCGCGUCCGAUUAGCUAGUUGGUGGGGUAACGGCCCACCAAGGCGACGAUCGGUAGCCGGACUGAGAGGUUGAACGGCCACAUUGGGACUGAGACACGGCCCAGACUCCUACGGGAGGCAGCAGUGGGGAAUAUUGCACAAUGGGGGAAACCCUGAUGCAGCGACGCCGCGUGGAGGAAGAAGGUCUUCGGAUUGUAAACUCCUGUUGUUGGGGAAGAUAAUGACGGUACCCAACAAGGAAGUGACGGCUAACUACGUG